CGAGGGCGUAGCCGAGGUAGCGGCCGACGUUGCUGACGACGUCCAGGCGGUUCAGCUCCGCGCCGUUGC
Molecule: transfer RNA, 69 nt
Filed under: Streptomyces lavendulae subsp. lavendulae
Lineage: Bacteria; Bacillati; Actinomycetota; Actinomycetes; Kitasatosporales; Streptomycetaceae
Description: tRNA-Ser
Source: RNAcentral